GACGAACGCUGGCGGCGUGCUUAACACAUGCAAGUCGAACGGAAAGGCCCUGCUUUUGUGGGGUGCUCGAGUGGCGAACGGGUGAGUAACACGUGAGUAACCUGCCCUUGACUUUGGGAUAACUUCAGGAAACUGGGGCUAAUACCGGAUAGGAGCUCCUGCUGCAUGGUGGGGGUUGGAAAGUUUCGGCGGUUGGGGAUGGACUCGCGGCCUAUCCGCUUGUUGGUGGGGUAGUGGCUUACCCAGGCCUUGACGGGUAGCCGGCCUGAGAGGGGGACCGGGCACAUUGGGAGUGAGAUACGGCGCAGACGCCGACGGGAGGCAGCAGUGGGGAGGAUGGCACAGUGGGCGGAAGCCUGAUGCAGCAGCGCGGCGUGCGGGAUGACGGCGUGCGGGGUGUAAACCGCUUUGGCCUGGGACGAAGCGUGAGUGACGGUAAUGGGUAAAGAAGCACCGGCUAACUACGUG
Molecule: ribosomal RNA, 468 nt
Filed under: uncultured bacterium
Lineage: Bacteria
Description: partial 16S ribosomal RNA
Rfam family: Bacterial small subunit ribosomal RNA
Source: RNAcentral